AUGAGCAAGAUAGGUAGAUACCAUAUGUUACUUUGCAAGCAAAAUUCCAGGUAUAAAUACAUCACCAUGUCAAGAGUUCGUUUGGCAAGUGACACAUGCAACAUCUACUUCACGUACAUAAAGGUGACUCAUCUCAUUUACACGUGUUCACUUGACCCCUUCGAGGAUGGUAUACUACUUGACACUCCUCUUGUAUGCAUAUAUAGGUAUUGUCAUAGCUUUAUGGAUGACGAGGAGUCCAAACACAAGAGUACAACUACACCAUCCGGGAGGGAAGCAUGGAAGAGAAGGAAGAAGAUGAUUGUGCCAGCCCAGGAAAACUGGUACAACUAG
This 333-nucleotide ribosomal RNA is filed under the name Triticum aestivum (bread wheat). Its description in RNAcentral is "partial small subunit ribosomal RNA". Lineage: Eukaryota; Viridiplantae; Streptophyta; Magnoliopsida; Poales; Poaceae. The record is from RNAcentral.